UACUAGUACCCUAUGGGUGUACCAGCGAACACCACAGGGGGUACAUGGGAAGCCUCUUAGACAAUUGAAAAAAAGUAGUGCUAUAUAAUAAUCAGCGGGUGAUUCAGGCAUCUCUAUCGACAGUGCCAACAAAUCAGCAGCAGCAGCAG
Priapulus caudatus is the source of this 149-nucleotide long non-coding RNA. RefSeq lists it as uncharacterized. NCBI's taxonomy places the organism in Eukaryota, Metazoa, Priapulida, Priapulimorpha, Priapulimorphida, Priapulidae. The transcript has 3 exons. The record is from RefSeq and is a predicted model, not a curated record.